This 253-nucleotide ribosomal RNA is filed under the name uncultured bacterium. RNAcentral's name for it is "partial 16S ribosomal RNA". It matches the Rfam family "Bacterial small subunit ribosomal RNA", at positions 524 to 776 of the family's 1533-position model. The record is from RNAcentral.
UACGUAGGGUGCGAGCGUUAAUCGGAAUUACUGGGCGUAAAGCGUGCGCAGGCGGUUCGUUAAGUCAGAUGUGAAAGCCCCGGGCUCAACCUGGGAACUGCAUUUGAAACUGGCGGGCUUGAGUGCGGCAGAGGGGGGUGGAAUUCCGCGUGUAGCAGUGAAAUGCAUAGAGAUGCGGAGGAACACCGAUGGCGAAGGCAGCCCCCUGGGCCGACACUGACGCUCAGGCACGAAAGCGUGGGGAGCAAACAGG